GGAAGAUCCAAAACUAAGUCUGGGAUCGAAUUUUCAGUUCCGACAAGUGGUCUAUGUGUUUCAUAUUGACUUUGGUGUCCGACCAAUAGAAGAUUCAACACUGAUAAUUUGAUCGCAGACUCACCAAUGGAGAAGAUGGCUGCUGUACCCAGCUUUACUCGCCUCACUACUGCGCUUCAUUGCCGCGAACGGACUGACCCGCUACUACAUGCAGCUCUCUCCCUCCUUGCACUCUCGUUCUCCAUUUGUCUAACCAUUAGCGACGCAUCUCCAUAUUCUCUCUUUCCCUCAUUCCGCCUACUCUUUUGAUUUUUGGAUAUGUGGUUUAGCUGGGUGGUUUGAUGCUGGUGGUGAUGGUGGUGCUAGUGCUUGUGGAAGUGCAGGUAAGAGUGGUGCAGGUGGUCAUUUUCUCUAGUCAUAGGUGGUUAUGUUUGUGGUGUUGGUUGUGGUUGUUAGGUGAUGGUGGUUGUGGUUGUGUGAGAUUCUGAUGCUGUGUGAGAUUCAGAUUGUGCAGGUGGUGAAGUGAUAGUGUUGGGCACAAGUGGCGAUGCUGUUAGGUUGUGUUGGUGGUGUGGUGCAAUACGGUGCGAUGCCAAUGAUUUUGUAGCUAGUAGUACAUGUGGUUCUGGUGAGGUGAUGUACGUUUGGUUGUCAAUGUUGGGAAUGGUGGUAAGUGACCAAAUCUAUCUUCAUUGUGACUACUUGUGACUAGAUUUGUUUUAAUUGUGACCUUAUGUGACUUGAUUACAUAUAGUCACAAAUUAUACUAAUAUAAUCACAGACAAUCACACCGAUGACAAAUUUAGCCAUGAACACAUAAUGUCAUAAUUCAUACGUUAUGGGUCACAAUCCGCUGUUAAAGUCACAUUUCACUAGUCACAUGUUUGAGUUCACAAGUCACAGUCAUUUCAUAUAACUCGAAAAUCAAUAUAAACGGGUCACAGAUCAAUAUUAAUAGGUCACAUGUCGUUUUGUAGAAGUCACAGAUCAAAUUUAUAUGUCACAUUUUAUGUUACGAGUCACGAGUUGAAAAUCAUAUUUUGUGCGUCACAAUAUACACAGGUCACAGGUUAUUACCUAGAAAAAAAAAAG
This 1092-nucleotide long non-coding RNA is filed under the name Olea europaea subsp. europaea. Lineage: Eukaryota; Viridiplantae; Streptophyta; Magnoliopsida; Lamiales; Oleaceae. The record is from RNAcentral.